Pezoporus flaviventris is the source of this 2016-nucleotide RNA transcript. It is a transcript of the gene named transmembrane protein 25, with no coding region annotated. The record is from RefSeq and is a predicted model, not a curated record. The transcript has 8 exons. NCBI's taxonomy places the organism in Eukaryota, Metazoa, Chordata, Aves, Psittaciformes, Psittacidae.
GCACUGCGGCCAUGCUCCAGGUAAGGUGCAGUGCGGCUCUGCUGUCCAGCCCUGCUGCGCGCUGGGAUGCCUGGGGCCCAGCGUGGGGACAGCGCUGCACCCCUGCUCCAGCUGCAUGUCUCCUGGCGCUCGGCACAGCCGCCGCACCAUGUGGCAUUCCCAGGGCCGGCCGGAGGCUGCUCUUGCCCGACUGCUGCUGCUGCUGGGCCUCCUGGCGUGCUGCUCGGCAGGGCUGGGGGAGCCGGGUCCCACCAUCGAUGGGCAGCGGCUGGCAGUGUGCACGCUGCGGGAGGGGGAGAGCCGUGUCUUCUCCUGCCGGGCUCCCCGGCCGGCCCCGGGCGCCAUGCUGGCCUGGUACCUCGAUGGCCAAAAGCAGGAGGCAAACUGCUCGGCCGUGGGCGCCGCCAGCACCCUCACUCUCACCGCCCGGCGCAGCGACCGCCAGCUCAACUGCUCCCUGACGGACCCAGCCUCUGGGCAGACCUACAACUCCUCCGUCCUCCUCGACGUGCAGUAUAAGCCAGAGAUCCUGCAGGCAGAUGCCCACUACCAAGAGGCUGAGGGCAAGGGCCUCCUCCUGGUGCUCUUUGUGCUGGUGGAAGCCAACCCACCCGCCAGCAUCACUUGGGUGGACCAGGAUGGGCAGGUGAUGGCCAACACCUCAGAGUUCCACCUCCUGGACACCACACACUACCCGGGGGUGGCCAACCACUCGCUCCGCAUCCACCUCGACAGUGCAGCUGGCAACUUCUCUGUCAGCGCUGCCAACAGCCUGGGUAUCACCACCACCUCCCUCCUGCCGCCAGGUCUGCUGGAUGCCCAUGUGGAGCUGCCCCUCCUGGGUGUCGCCGUCGGAGCAGCCCUGGCCCUGUCUGCCCUGCUCAGCCUGGGCUCCUGUGCCGCCAGCCUGGCGUGCCAACGGCCCAAGCCGGUGCCUGGCGAGGGGCAAGUGGGAGGGCGCAGCCCACUCAGCCGGUGCUCCCGUUGCAGCGGCCCUGAGCUCCCACAGCCCGAGGGUGCACGUCUGCCCCGCCAGACCCGGUCACUGCCACCUGACCUGCACCUCAGCGACCUCACGCAGGAGGCCAGAGCUUCCCCCAGGGAUGCAGGAGCUGGUUCUGGGGGAGAGGAGAGCACAUGGCCGGGGCUGGAGAACUCCCUGGUCCUCAGCAAGCUCGGUUUUAUCCAGCUCCCAAAGUCUGGGCGCAUCUACAAAGUGCCCAGUGUAAGCAGUGAGGAGAUCUGGCUGUGAGACGUGGUGUGGUGCCUUGAGGCAGGGCUGCCCAGCCCCAGUGGCACUGCAUCAACUGAGGAGAGCCACGGGCAAACAGAACACUGAGGAAAACCACAUAUUGACAACCAAAAGGAAACAAAGCUUCCCCCGAAGGGAACUGAACCAAAGCCUGCACCAAGCCUUGCCAUAGAUCCAUUGCAGUUUAAAACUACGGCCUAAAGAAAAACGUUACGUGCAGCAAGUGCAGCCUCCCCCUCCCUGUCUCACUGUGAUGUUGUGCUGCUUGGAGUUCUCCGUCAGCCAAAGGGAGAGCACGGUGGGAUCCGACUGCUUGGUCGAUGGCUCAUCCAGCACCAGCAGGCCCAGGUUAUCAGGACUGCCGUCGGGACGGGGAACCUGCAGACAAACAGAGGCCCCGUUUCCUGCGGGAGUCUAGGGCAGCGGACAUCGGGCUGUUUUGGAGGGAGCCUCCCUAUGGUUUAAAAACCAGGCCCUAAAAGGCAUUGGCAGGCCUGCUCUCUUGAAUACGAGUUGUUAGUACAGUGCUGCCUGAAAAGUACAAGGAGUUGGACAAGGCAAAUGUGGCCCUGGCUCCAAAUUAUGCCUGAGAAGCGACUGACAGCUCAGGGGCAGGGCUCACCGGGCUGUAGGGCCAGGCUUCAGCCAAUACCACAUCCCAUUUCAGCUCAGGCACACCACAUACAGAGGGGAGCAAAGCAACUGUACCUUUAGGAAUGCGUCAAUGUCUCCAACUGCAGGAAUAAAGUCUGGGAUGAAAGGCU